Molecule: long non-coding RNA, 1970 nt
Organism: Gallus gallus (chicken)
Lineage: Eukaryota; Metazoa; Chordata; Aves; Galliformes; Phasianidae
Source: Ensembl
AGAGAAGUUACCCUGCACUAUCAGGCUUAGGGCAGACUCUGUCCCCAGGAAGAAGAUGGUUUAAGUUGUUGCUGGAAUUGCAGUGUGGGAAAUGCCAGCCCCUCUGUGGCAGUGGGUCCCCGUACCUUGGAGAUACACUUGUCUUCUCUUGUUUGGACCUUCUAGAUCCAUUUGUUUAAUCCUAACCACUUACUCUCUCUACCCUGGUAUCACAUGUUUAUGCACUGAAGGUUAAAUAUGUAUUUUGACACGUUUGUUUAUUAAGUAUGUGCUGGUCUGUAAAAUGAGAAAUUCCUGUUCUGGUAUGUAUACUAGAUCCCCAAAUGAGCAGAAAGGCUUUUCUAGAGCCCUUGCACACUGUUGAGUAAAUGCAGGUUUGUUUAGGUUAGCUGACCCAAAUAGAUCCCUUUGGAUCCAAACUGUGAUAAGUAGCUGCGUUGCAUGGCUCCCUUGGCAGAUUUAUUGUUGAAAAUAGAAGGGGGGAAGCCCUCAGUAAAUGUGCAUGGAGUGCUGGAAUAUCUAUAUUCAGAUGUUCUCUUAACGUUGCCUUGACCCUUCCCAAAAUGAUGCGAAGCCAGCAUAGUUCAGAAGAUGGGCUGUUGGCCUACAUGUUUACUGUUUGAAGAGAAGGCUCUUUUAACAACCAUUGAAUGCUUUUAAGUCCUCAGAGAUUCUCCCCUCCUGCCUCCGGUUUUCAAAACGAAACCGAAUUUAAGGAAGAAUUCUGUUCCGUGAAUCGAUUCCAAUUAAACCCUAAUCAAAACAGGGCUUCUGGCAGUAACUUCGGUAUAACCUGAACAUUAAAAAUAAGAUUGGGCAUAUAUCACUAACGUGGGCUCAUGAAGACUGUGCGCCGUCAGUGAUGAUGUAGUUGGCCGUUGUUUGGCUAUGCAGGCACAUGGCACCAUUGCCGAUCUGUGCUUUUUACCUUUGGCAGCCUACUAAAAUCAGGAUCACUGUUCCUUUCCAAGUCUGUAGCGUAGAGGUCGGUCCACAUUCGCAUUUUGCAAACCGAUAACCACAGCCUUCUGACUUAAUCCCUCAGUUGCACUGUUCCAAAACCACAUUUGUGCUGGUAGGAGGUGGAGGGGAUGAACCCCGCCUGCUCGUAUUUCCUCUGGCAGCUGGUGCUGUGGGCAACUGCUUCGUUCACUGGGGAGUGGCUUUUUCAUUCAAGCUUCUAAUGCAAAGACUUGCUUUGUUUUCCACGUAAAAAUGGGUUGCGCAAAAAUAUGCUCAUGUACACUAACAUCAGUAGACUGUAUUCUCUGCAAGUACCUCACAUGUCUUCUCCUGCCUUGUUCUUUGUAGUAUACUUAUUCAUGUACUCUUAACAUUCGUAUGUAGUGUGCAACUGUAAUGUCAUGCUUAUGAGAGGGGGCUGGCUGCCUCCAGCCCACAGUCAUCAGUUCAAUAGCAGAACACUUUAGAUAAGUUAUUUUGCACUUUCUUAUGUAUAAAAUUGGUAGAUACUUAUAUUUGCUUUGUAUCAUUUAAAGACUCCUUUCGUUUCGGUAAAUGAACUGUGUAUAAAAUAUUUAUGCAGUUGAAACUGUUUUUAGACAGUAUUUUUAAUUUCAGCAAGUUUGGUUACUUGUUGCAUGACUAUUAACACAGCUGACUUUUUGUGUCAGUGCAAUGUAUAUUUUUUUUGUCCUGUUAUUAACUUGUAAGCCCUAGUUAAAUGGCCAUUUAUUUGUACAGCAUUGGGAGUCAAUUGAAGAUAACUGGCUAAGACUGGAGUGUGGAAUUUUGUACUAUAUUGCAGAAUCCAAUAUCUGUUUUUUGGUGGUUACGUAAAAGGCCUGACGAUUUACUAUCUAGUGUGCAAUCUGUGAUAUCUGAAUGUUCAUUGUAUAUUUGUCUCCAAUGCAAAAAGUUAGAGUAACACAGUUACAAUACAUGAUUAAAUGCAAUAGUUCAGGUACUUAAGUAUUUUUUUCAUUUCAAAUAAAUACCUGCUAUUUACC